AACGGCUGGCGGCGCGUCUAAGCAUGCAAGUCGGACGGCAAGGGUUGUGCUUAGCACGAACUCCUAGAGUGGCGGACUGGUGAGUAACGCGUGGGUGACCUGCCCUCGAGAUGGGGAUAGCCAUUAGAAAUAGUGGAUAAUACCGGAAUACGCUCAUGACCCUGUGGGGAUAUGAGGAAAAACCGGCUACGGCCUGGCUCGAGGAUGGGCCCGCGUCCCGAUUAGCUAGUUGGUGAGGUAACGGCCCACCAAGGCGACGAUGGGUAUCCGGCCUGAGAGGGUGUACGGACACAUUGGGACUGAGAUACGGCCCAAACUCCUACGGGAGGCAGCAGCUAAGAAUAUUCCGCAAUGGACGAAAGUCUGACGGAGCGACGCCGCGUGGAUGAAGAAGGCCGGAAAGGUUGUAAAAUCCUUUUGCUGAUGAAGAAUAAGUGUGGUAGGGAAUGACCGCAUGAUGACAUUAGUCGGUGAAUAAGCCCCGGCUAACUACGUGCCAGCAGCUGC
Molecule: ribosomal RNA, 507 nt
Filed under: uncultured bacterium
Lineage: Bacteria
Description: bacterial SSU rRNA
Rfam family: Bacterial small subunit ribosomal RNA
Source: RNAcentral